UCCCUGUUGCUCAGAUGGUAAAGAAUCUGCCUGCAGUGCAGGAGACCCGGGUUUGAUCCCUGGGCUGGGAA
Molecule: transfer RNA, 71 nt
Filed under: Bos taurus (domestic cattle)
Lineage: Eukaryota; Metazoa; Chordata; Mammalia; Artiodactyla; Bovidae
Also listed under: 2 other names
Rfam family: tRNA
About the family: Transfer RNA (tRNA) molecules are approximately 80 nucleotides in length.
Source: Rfam by way of RNAcentral